Molecule: ribosomal RNA, 474 nt
Filed under: Triticum aestivum (bread wheat)
Lineage: Eukaryota; Viridiplantae; Streptophyta; Magnoliopsida; Poales; Poaceae
Description: partial small subunit ribosomal RNA
Source: RNAcentral
AUGAAUUGGGUGAAGAUCAAUUGUGAUGCUAGUGUCUCUAGUCUUCAACAUAAAAGUGGGCCAGGAGGGAUUGCAAGAACUCCUACCGCUUUUUUAGCGGUUUGGAGCAAGCCGUACCCAGACUUCACUGACCCACUUAUCGCUGAGGCUUUAGCUCUGCGAGAUGGUGUCAUUUUUGCUAAUCUUCGAGGAUUUCCACGAGUGGUGAUGGAAGUGGACUGCUUAGAGGUUGUAAACCUCUGGGACUCGCGCCGCUUUUCGCGCUCACUGGUAGCACCGUUACUUCUAGAAAUUGAAGAGCUAUCUUCAUCUUUUUCUUCUUUUAUUAGUCAACAUGUAAUGAGAAAUGCUAACACCUCCUCCCACCUGUGUGCAAAACAUGCUUGUACACUGGAGGUGACGGGAUGUUGGAUGGACCCCCGCCCCCUCCCCGCCCUGUUUCCUCUUGACCAGCGUUCUCGCUGGAGCUAUUGA